UUCACAACUCACAACAUUUGCAAGCUCUCUUCUCUCCCUCCUUCCCCACUUUCGGCAGCCAUCACACACCACCCAAUCACCACCAUCAAGCUUGGUUCUAGCCAUUUCCCAUACUCUCAAAGGUGCAAGAGGUCAUACAAACAAGCUCGGUGCUUUCGGAAGUUCAAGAAUCGCUCUCGUUUUCUUUUAUCCACCACUUUUCUACACUCGAACUCUCCUAGCCUUGUUCUAGUGGUGAUGUUGCUUAGUGUCGAUUGCGAAUAGGAUGCAAGCUCACUUAGAACUGGAUGAGGCCUUAGUGAUUGAAUAACGAUGAUAGACUAUGUUUGAUUUGCUUGUUUAAAUUUAAGACAAUGUUUAAUAUUUAAUAAAAUGAAACUCUUCGUA
Helianthus annuus (common sunflower) is the source of this 387-nucleotide long non-coding RNA. RefSeq lists it as uncharacterized. The transcript is spliced from 2 exons. The record is from RefSeq and is a predicted model, not a curated record. Lineage: Eukaryota; Viridiplantae; Streptophyta; Magnoliopsida; Asterales; Asteraceae.